Long non-coding RNA from Populus euphratica (Euphrates poplar), 1143 nucleotides. RefSeq lists it as uncharacterized. The transcript has 2 exons. Lineage: Eukaryota; Viridiplantae; Streptophyta; Magnoliopsida; Malpighiales; Salicaceae. The record is from RefSeq and is a predicted model, not a curated record.
CCUGAAAAGGUUCAAAUUUGUGAGCUGGAAGCCUCUCAUUUAUGGAACAAACAUGCAUACGGUUAGGCAGAAUUCAUGCAUCUAAAGAGUGACAUCUAUUACAUCAAAGCAUGUGUGUGUGUGUGUGUGUGUGUGUAUUAUUAGUGAAAGUGCCUAUGAAAUGUUUGGCAGCACCUUGGCUUGCCUAACUCCUUCCAUUUUAGAGGAGUCAAAAGUAUAAACUUUAACUAAAAGACGAAGGUAGGCUUUCAUUGCAGUGAGAUAGGAAUUAUAUAUACCAUGCUUGAGUUACAAUCCAUAGACAUGGAGCCAUAUUUUGGACGUGGCAAUCACAUUUGCCAAUAACAAGUAGCAAUGCCUUUUGCAUGGUGUGUUUGAGUGUUAUGGGUUCUGGCUUGGCUUUAGGCUUACCUAUUUUCUUUUGACUCUUGAAUGGUUUACAGGCAAGUGUUAAUCUCUCUCCCUUCCCAAUUUCUAUUGCUUCCUAUCAGUCUCAAAACCAUGAUUUUGACCAGCAUAAUUCAAAUUGAGUUCCUGUUUUUUCCGGCUCAGGACCUAAUGCAGAAGAUGGGUCAGAUUCUAAGGUAAAAAGAAACCAUACCUCACAGAACAGGCCUCUGAUUCUUCAGUGAUGCAAGGCGGUGAAAAUCCAGCUACUUUCAGCGAGCAACCUUGGAGGAACAGGAUUAAGGAAUGGAAGAAGAGGCUUUACGUAUGUAUAAAGUGAUGAAAGGGAAGGAGAGAAGCUGAAGGAGAUUAAAUACAAAUGUACAACAAAAAAAGAAGCCAAGGCUGUUUGUUUGACUCACACUCGACAAUCCAGUUAGGACAAACAAAGGGUAGCCUCAAAAUACUUGCUAGGAAUGGAUUUAUUCUUCACAGCUUCCUAAAAAAACUCGCUGUUUUUGAGAGAAAUGGUAAUGGCAUUGACUGAUAACUUAGAAACAUAGACUUUUCGUUUCCUUUUUUUAGUUAGGCGUUACGUUGAUUGUUGACUACACCUUUUGUUGGAUAAUUUCUCCUAUUCUUGUAAGAUUAUCAGGACUUGAGUUCCAGAGGGUGCAGGCAACAACAAGAAAAGAUUAUUUGUUGAAUUCAUUUGUUGAAGCAUCAUUCACUAAUUACUAUUGGAAUUAGAUACAU